RNAcentral lists this ribosomal RNA (474 nucleotides) under Selenomonas sp. oral taxon 137. RNAcentral's name for it is "bacterial SSU rRNA". It matches the Rfam family "Bacterial small subunit ribosomal RNA", at positions 28 to 473 of the family's 1533-position model. The record is from RNAcentral. Lineage: Bacteria; Bacillati; Bacillota; Negativicutes; Selenomonadales; Selenomonadaceae.
GACGAACGCUGGCGGCGUGCUUAACACAUGCAAGUCGAACGGAGCGAAUGAAAGCUUGCUUUUAUGAGCUUAGUGGCAAACGGGUGAGUAACACGUAGACAACCUGCCGAUCAGAUGGGGACAACAUUCCGAAAGGAAUGCUAAUACCGAAUGGCGUGUAGGGGAGGCAUCUCCCGUACAUGAAAGAUGGCCUCUAUAUAUAAGCUAUCACUGAUCGAUGGGUCUGCGUCUGAUUAGCUGGUAGGUAAGGUAACGGCUUACCUAGGCGACGAUCAGUAGCCGGUCUGAGAGGAUGAACGGCCACAUUGGGACUGAGACACGGCCCAGACUCCUACGGGAGGCAGCAGUGGGGAAUCUUCCGCAAUGGGCGCAAGCCUGACGGAGCAACGCCGCGUGAGUGAAGAAGGUCUUCGGAUCGUAAAGCUCUGUUGAAGGGGACGAACGUACGCAGUGCGAAUAGUGCUGUGUAAUGAC